This 497-nucleotide ribosomal RNA is filed under the name Glaciozyma watsonii. RNAcentral describes it as "partial large subunit ribosomal RNA". It matches the Rfam family "Eukaryotic large subunit ribosomal RNA", at positions 145 to 634 of the family's 3401-position model. The record is from RNAcentral. Lineage: Eukaryota; Fungi; Basidiomycota; Microbotryomycetes; Kriegeriales; Camptobasidiaceae.
GUAAUCUCGAGAAGUGUUUUCCGCGCCGGACCGCAUACAAGUCUGUUGGAAUACAGCGUCAUAGUGGUGAGAGCCCCGUAAUUGAUGUGGAUGCCCGGUGCUUUGUGAUACACUUUCGAAGAGUCGAGUUGUUUGGGAAUGCAGCUCAAAUUGGGUGGUAAAUUCCAUCUAAAGCUAAAUAUUGGCGAGAGACCGAUAGCGAACAAGUACCGUGAGGGAAAGAUGAAAAGCACUUUGGAAAGAGAGUUAACAGUACGUGAAAUUGUUGGAAGGGAAACGCUUGAAGUCAGACUUGCUAUUCGGAAUUCAGCCGCAAGGUGUACUUUUCGAUUUGCAGGCCAGCAUCAGUUUUUGGGGGUGGAAAAGGGUGGAGAGAAGGUAGCAACCUUGGUUGUGUUAUAGCUCUUUACUGGAUUCAUCUUUGGGGACUGAGGAUCGCAGUGCGCAAUUUACUUUGCAAACCUUUCGAGGUUUUCGUACUUAGGAUGCUGGUGGAA